UUAUAGCGGCACAAACAGAGUAAGACUCCUGUUUGUGGACAUUUAUUUGAAUUCUUUCAAGUUUGAGGCAGUUAAAGUUGCUCUGAAGAAUAGUGCUGCUAAGCCUCCACCCAGCCUAAAAAGGUAUCUACUAAUACAAGUUUAGGCAUCAGAGUGAAAUUGCCAAUCAUCAUAAGGGUAGGUCUCAUAUGUUGGGUUUUCUGUGUUGCAGGUGUUUUGAGCACCUAAAAGGGAGAUCUGAGUUAUUUGUCAAACAGGGUCCUCUUAAAUGAGGUCCUACCAAAUCUAUUAAGGCAUUACACCCAUAAUGUGCAUAUUUAUGUAGGUGUCUCAUAAGAGGCCAAACCAAGGCUUCAGGCAGGAGAAUGAGUCCAUGAGAAUUCUGUCUCCACUUAGCUGUGCCAUGCCAAAUGUCAGAGUCCCAGUCUUUAGUUUUAAAUGGGGUUUAUUUUGAUCUAAAUCUAGCCAGGGCCUUUGAUAAGGCCCCAAGGAACAGAUCACCUUUAGUGACCUUAGCAGCUCUGUCAGUGGCCUGAUUUCUUUUUGUAACAUAAGUUUCUCUCUGUUGACCAGGACAGUGCAGGAUGGCCACCUGCUUGGGCUCAGCCAUGGCCUGUAUCAGGACUAUUUUAGUGGAAUAUUGAAUAUUUUUACUUUUGUGUCAUCAGGAGUUUCCUUUUUUUCCAAAUGGCACCAUGAGUAUGUAUGACCAUAAAAGCAUAUUUAGAGUCUAUAUAAAAGUUUACCUUUUUUCUCUGGAUAAUUUUUAUAAAGCUGCUCCCAUUGGUGAAAAGAUCUCAGUCUGGCUCUGGCAUCAGCUGAUACGACAGAUCCGUCCUGCUAGAAUAGACAGCCUCUAGAACCUCUAAACAGUCAUGUUGUAAAGGCUCAUUCUCUUGGGCUGGUAACAGGGUGGCAGGAUUGAGAGUAGACACAGUCUUUAAUAACAACUUGCAAGUGGCUGUUACUGUCCAGAGGCAAGGAGGCCAUCCUCUCACAAUAUUGUCCAGUGGCUUUGACAAGUAUGCCACUGGCCAUGGGAUGUCUUCCAGCACCUGUGCUAAGACUACUAAGGCUCAUUCCUUGUUUUCAGUGAUUGCAUAAUCUAAAUUCUUUCUGCAAGUCAGGCAACCGCAAAGCAGAAACAGUCAUAAGAUUCUGCUUUAGUUUUUCAAAGGCAUUUUGACAGUCUGUGAUCCAGAUCAGGGGCUCAAUAUAUGUCCUAUUAAGGCCCCUGUACAAGGGCUUUGUUAUUACUCUAAAGUUUGGGAUCCAGUUGUAACAGAACGCCGCCAUUCCUGGGAGCCCACAUAGUUACUAAUUUGGAAUCCCAGAUAAGAAACCAGCUGUUUGCAAAUCUGUCUAAUUGUAGGCUUUGCAAUUCCCCCAUUAAUUUCUCACCAAACAGGGCAGGAGAGCCUUUUUGAACCCAUGAGGCAACACAGUCUAACAGUGCCACAAGGCCACCCUAGUCUCAGGAUUCUGCCAUUCAUAUGUGACUGAGUACCAAUUCAUAGUCACUUGUACAGUAUCAUUAAUGGCAUGUAGAUCCUACAUGAAUCUAUACUCAUAGCUAUGGGGAAUUUAAAUUUUUUCUUUAUGUCUCGGGGUCCCAUCAGCCCAUACAGCCUUACUCACUUUUGAUAGAUUUCUUUUCAUAAAUGUUGUAAUGAUGUGCAGGUCUGCUGAGGCCCAAACUUUAAAGCAAACUGCUCCACAAUGGCAGUCUCUUGUAUGUCUCACCAGGCCCUGGUAUUCAUCCAGCAGGAUCUUGGUGAUGCCCCCAGAGGCCUUUGUUUCUGUUACAGUUGUGGAGGGCCCAUCCUGGCUUCUGUGUGUCCACAUCCCUCUGCCACCUGGUCCCCUGGCAUCCUUGGGGGGAGAAAGCAGCACUAAGAUUCACUGAGCAGACUGAGGUCAGCCUCUGCCUUCUGCUGUGCCUACCUGCACUGGCCCUAUCUUGCCUGAAGUCCUCAAAUGGAGGAAAGUAGAGGCUAGGAGGGGAGUGCUCCUAUCCCCAAGGCUGAGCCCAGAGGGGCAGGCACAGCUAAUCUCUGCCCCAGCCUUUAGCAGGCAGGGAGGGGCUCCAGGCAGGGUCAUCUGUUCCCUACCAUGAGAGACAGAGGGGCCAAUCUCCCCACCUCUAAACCCAGGGCCCAAAACUUCCUGGCCUGCUUUGGGAGUGUGAGGCUGCUUGGCUCCCACAUUCUUAGAGCCCAGGGGGAAUUUCUGCCCUAAGAGGCCUGGGUAAACCCAUCUGUCACUGUUGCACAAAGUUCAAGGCAGAGACAUAACAAGGAAAGGAGGAGUGUUUGGAAUGCAUGUCUGGGGGAAAUCGGCUGUUCUAGUUAUUACACAAUGCCCAAGGGAGUGACGCCAGAGCAAACCUCUAAGUACCUGAGAACACAUGAACCUGUUUGGGAAAUGCAGCCAUCCAUUGGCCAUGGGCACAAUGAUAAUGAUUGAUGGAUCCUGUUACAGGAAUAGCUAUGAAAUGGAUCAAUCUUGAUCUGGAUGUGUUGUAUUAUGCCAAUGGUGUGUGUAAGACAGAAAACAUAGCUGUGUUUAUCUGGAAAUAUGUCUUCCUGUGGGAGUUUUCUUAAUAAAGAAAAAGUGCAUGAAAAUGACA
Molecule: non-coding RNA, 2629 nt
Organism: Microcebus murinus (gray mouse lemur)
Lineage: Eukaryota; Metazoa; Chordata; Mammalia; Primates; Cheirogaleidae
Source: RefSeq, a predicted model, not a curated record